GAGGAUGCGAGCGUUAUCCGGAUUUAUUGGGUUUAAAGGGUGCGUAGGCGGCCUGUUAAGUCAGCGGUAAAAGCCCGGGGCUCAACCCCGGCGAGCCGUUGAAACUGGCUGGCUGGAGUUGGCGAGAGGUAUGCGGAAUGCGCGGUGUAGCGGUGAAAUGCUUAGAUAUCGCGCAGAACUCCGAUUGCGAAGGCAGCAUGCCGGCGCCACACUGACGCUGAGGCACGAAAGCGUGGGGAUCAAA
Molecule: ribosomal RNA, 244 nt
Filed under: uncultured bacterium
Lineage: Bacteria
Description: partial 16S ribosomal RNA
Rfam family: Bacterial small subunit ribosomal RNA
Source: RNAcentral